AGAAUCUCGCGGGAGUUGAACAGCCCGGUGAGGUGGCAGAGACCAAGCGCCAUUCCCUGCCGGGCAGACUAGUCAACCACCGAAUGUGUGCGGGGGGAAAAACAACUUAGACCGCUGGAGCCCCAAAUGGCUGUGCAGAGAGUGCUCCAGUGUACGUAAACUACCAGACGAUUACGCCCCUGGUACAGUGAUGGAGAGAACAUGCCAAGGACAUACAUGCCUGGACGGAUAUGGACAAUGCGAGGAGCAGGUGUCCCCUAUUAAGAUUAUGAGAAAUGUUGGCACCUAUGCACAACAAAACUGGCAAGAGGUAAACUAUUUCAUCCCAUCGGGCUGCAAGUGCACCGUCAAGCCGGGUACAGCUUUUGACAAAUUUAUUCCUUAAAUCAUCAUAGCACGAUC
Branchiostoma belcheri (Belcher's lancelet) is the source of this 402-nucleotide long non-coding RNA. RefSeq lists it as uncharacterized. NCBI's taxonomy places the organism in Eukaryota, Metazoa, Chordata, Leptocardii, Amphioxiformes, Branchiostomatidae. The record is from RefSeq and is a predicted model, not a curated record. The transcript has 3 exons.